Long non-coding RNA from Perca fluviatilis (European perch), 1623 nucleotides. RefSeq lists it as uncharacterized. The transcript has 3 exons. NCBI's taxonomy places the organism in Eukaryota, Metazoa, Chordata, Actinopteri, Perciformes, Percidae. The record is from RefSeq and is a predicted model, not a curated record.
UAAAAAGAUAGUCUACGAAGGCGGGCGCCACCCCCGGGAAAACAGCCACGACCAGUCGAAACGACGAACGCCGUGCUUGAGCCAUGUUACUGGUUGCAUGGCGUCCGUCGCUCGACCGGCGCGACCGGCCGCGACCGCCGCGACCACCGCUCCCCAAGACGGCACCAACCCGCACACGCGAACGGCACCGUCCUCCCAAACCAUCCCCUCAAUAAACUGUCUGCACACUCCCAACCGCAACCGCAACUACGUUGUGCGUCUGCCCUAUUUCUGAUACCGUGGCGGCAGAAAUCCUGCCAUGGCGGGCCGCCACUACAGAAUCCACAUAGAGGAAACGCUGGGCUCAGAAGUGUUUUCAAAUUUCUCCGGUUUAGAGGCUCUGAAACACCAGAGUCGUGUGAAUGCGAGAUGUAAACGUAGCAAAAGAUAUGUAAAUGUAGCCCGAGACCUUCAAAAAAGUGGUCUCGAGACGAAGACCGAUCUCGAGUAUAACACUAAACUGGCUAAACUCUUCCAACACAUACCAGUUGUUGUAAAAACCUGUUGCCUUCCCCACGGUGUGUCCGUCCUUGCCUGUUCGGAGGUGUUUUUGUGUUGUGUCUCUUCUCACACAGGAAACCCAGCCUGAACGGUCAGGAUGUGAAGAGGUUUGUGUCGGUGCACCCAGGGGACUCUGCCGACGGAGAGACGUUCCCUCUCACACUUUGAAAAGUUACAAGUAUGCUGGUUUAUACUCCUUUCACUGUUGAGGUUGAUUUAUGACAAUUAUGCUACAGGAAAGGCCACGAUCAGAGGCCGCAAUCAUCCGCCAUCGGUGACUUUUUCUUUUGAGUCCGACUGCUUUUCUUUUCCAGGCCCCUCUGUGUGUAAUGGCUUCCAUACCGAGGAGCUAUUUCUUUUACGAUCCUAGAGUGGGAUUAAUGGUUGCCAGUGGAGGCAAAUGGCCAUCCAGGGAGUUACCUGUCAGGACCCUGCAGUGCGCUGGCUUCUCCACGGGCCGAUGGAUGUUACACAACAGCGGGAGACGUCACCUUGGAGGAAUGUGGGAAAUGAGAGGGGGGCGGAUCAGAGGAUGAAGGAGGAGAGAUGAGGGAGCAGAGUGCUUCACUGACUCUUACGGUACCUUGACAUGAGUCACAGGGAGCUAAAAUGGGUCAAUUGACCAGAAGAAAUCAUGAUCCAGUUACAAUGUGCGGACUGAAAACAACUGUCUCAGGUGCCUUACAGGUUUAUAUGUACAAGUGUGUUUACUACAUUAUACACUAAACACGUAAUUACACAUUAUGCUAUGUACUUUUCUAAAUGGUGUGUGCACACCUGUUAUAAUUUGGGGGAAUGCAGGGAGAGCCUGGUCCAGACCUCUGAAUAUCUUGCCACAUCUUUGAUAUCUUCAGCAAAUCAAAUAAGUCUGGUGUCAUGCUUAUUACCUUACGUUUUCGGUUCGGUGUGUCCGAUAGGUCGUUUGUUGGUUUGAUUGUCUGUCACUAGGAUUACGGGAAAAAAACUACUCGCCUGAUUUAACGACACUUGGUAGAUGGGUUUAGCAUGGACCAAUGAAGAACCCAUUGGAUUUUAAAGCGGAUACGAACCACAGCCAAACAAACACAGGACUUUUGCCAGUGU